Molecule: ribosomal RNA, 497 nt
Filed under: uncultured bacterium
Lineage: Bacteria
Description: partial 16S ribosomal RNA
Rfam family: Bacterial small subunit ribosomal RNA
Source: RNAcentral
GACGAACGCUGGCGGCGUGCCUAAUACAUGCAAGUUGAGCGCUGAAGGUUGGUACUUGUCCCGACUGGAUGAGCAGCGAACGGGUGAGUAACGCGUGGGGAAUCUGCCUUUGAGCGGGGGACAACAUUUGGAAACGAAUGCUAAUACCGCAUAAAAACUUUAAACACAAGCUUUAAGUUUGAAAGAUGCAAUUGCAUCACUCAAAGAUGAUCCCGCGUUGUAUUAGCUAGUUGGUGAGGUAAAGGCUCACCAAGGCGAUGAUACAUAGCCGACCUGAGAGGGUGAUCGGCCACAUUGGGACUGAGACACGGCCCAAACUCCUACGGGAGGCAGCAGUAGGGAAUCUUCGGCAAUGGACGAAAGUCUGACCGAGCAACGCCGCGUGAGUGAAGAAGGUUUUCGGAUCGUAAAACUCUGUUGGUAGAGAAGAACGUUGGUGAGAGUGGAAAGCUCAUCAAGUGACGGUAACUACCCAGAAAGGGACGGCUAACUACGUG